Molecule: non-coding RNA, 211 nt
Organism: Cinara cedri
Lineage: Eukaryota; Metazoa; Arthropoda; Insecta; Hemiptera; Aphididae
Source: the annotation of a GenBank genome assembly
CACUUAAACCGUGUUCGACGUUCACGCACCAUAAUAUAACACGUAUAUAUACGUACUUAUUUACCGCGUUUGCCUAGAUUAUUGUACCUAUAAGACCGUUGACUUAACCGCUUUUAUUCUCACGACCGUCGCCGUCGCCGUGUUUCGUCCGGCCGCCCCUCAGAGAUGCAUCGAAAAGUCAUACGACACGUUCGGGCAGUGUAAAAACAUA